This 74-nucleotide transfer RNA is filed under the name Omnitrophica WOR_2 bacterium RIFCSPHIGHO2_02_FULL_52_10. Its description in RNAcentral is "tRNA-Val". It matches the Rfam family "tRNA". From Rfam's summary of the family: Transfer RNA (tRNA) molecules are approximately 80 nucleotides in length. Their secondary structure includes four short double-helical elements and three loops (D, anti-codon, and T loops). The record is from RNAcentral. Lineage: Bacteria; Pseudomonadati; Candidatus Omnitrophota.
GGGUGAUUAGCUCAGUUGGCCAGAGCACCUGCCUUACAUGCAGGGGGUCAGAGGUUCGAGUCCUCUAUCGCCCA